GAUCCUGGCUCAGAAUCAACGCUGGCGGCGCGCUUAACACAUGCAAGUCGAACGAGAAAGGGGAGCAAUCCCUGAGUAAAGUGGCGUACGGGUGAGUAACACGUGGGUAAUCUACCUUUUGGUGGGGAAUAACGCUGGGAAACCGGCGCUAACACCGCAUAAGCCUGAGAAGGGAAAAGAGAAAUCUGCCGAAAGAGGAGCCCGCGGCUGAUUAGCUAGUUGGUGAGGUAAAGGCUCACCAAGGCAAUGAUCGGUAGCCGGCCUGAGAGGGCACACGGCCACACUGGCACUGAAACACGGGCCAGACUCCUACGGGAGGCAGCAGUGGGGAAUCUUGCACAAUGGGGGAAACCCUGAUGCAGCGACGCCGCGUGAGUGAUGAAGCCCUUCGGGGUGUAAAGCUCUUUCGGCAGGGACGAUAAUGACGGUACCUGAAGAAGAAGCUGCGGCUAACUACGUGCCAGCAGCCGCGGUAAUACGUAGGCAGCGAGCGUUGUUCGGAGUUACUGGGCGUAAAGAGUGCGUAGGCGGUUUUCUAAGUUUGGUGUGAAAUCUCCCGGCUCAACUGGGAGGGUGCGCCGAAGACUGGAAGGCUAGAGUAUGGGAGAGGUAAGCGGAAUUCCUGGUGUAGCGGUGAAAUGCGUAGAUAUCAGGAGGAACACCUGCGGUGUAGACGGCUUACUGGACCAG
RNAcentral lists this ribosomal RNA (690 nucleotides) under uncultured Acidobacteriota bacterium. RNAcentral's name for it is "bacterial SSU rRNA". It matches the Rfam family "Bacterial small subunit ribosomal RNA", at positions 15 to 737 of the family's 1533-position model. Lineage: Bacteria; Pseudomonadati; Acidobacteriota. The record is from RNAcentral.